GACGAACGCUGGCGGCGUGCUUAACACAUGCAAGUCGAACGGAAAGGCCCUGCUCUUGCUUCGCGCAUGUUUGGCGAACACGUGUGUAACACGCGAGUAACCCGCACCUAACAGUGGGAUAACAUCUGGAAACUGGGGCUCAUAUCGGAUAGGAGCUUCUGAUGCACGGUGGUGGAUGGAAAGAUACGGCGGUUGGGGCUGGUAUCGCGGGUUAUCAGCUUGUUGGUGGGGUAGUGGUUUACCAAGGUUUCGACGGGUAGCCGGCCUGAGAGGGUGACCGGCCACAUUGGGACUGAGAGACGGCCCAGACUCCUACGGGAGGCAGCAGUGGGGAAUAUUGCACAGUGGGCGGAAGCCUGAUGCAGCAACGCCGCGUGCGGGAUGACGGCCUUCGGGUUGUAAACCGCUUUCGCCUGUGACGAAGCGUGAGUGACGGUAAUGGGUAAAGAAGCACCGGCUAACUACGUG
Molecule: ribosomal RNA, 468 nt
Filed under: uncultured bacterium
Lineage: Bacteria
Description: partial 16S ribosomal RNA
Rfam family: Bacterial small subunit ribosomal RNA
Source: RNAcentral